This 1329-nucleotide long non-coding RNA is filed under the name Olea europaea (common olive). RNAcentral's name for it is "long non-coding RNA (OEUR_LNC010677)". Lineage: Eukaryota; Viridiplantae; Streptophyta; Magnoliopsida; Lamiales; Oleaceae. The record is from RNAcentral.
CUGUGGGUAUGAUGUGUUGUGUGCGAUGAUAAUGUCGACAUGGUGGUGGCUCUAGCAAUGUCAGUGAUGUCGAUCGGUUGUCCUGCAGUGGUGGGCAUGGCUCUAGUGGUGGUGGCUCUGGUUGGCGCCGUUUUCUCUGUUGUGGUGAUGAAUUUGUUAGUGUAUUGUGGUGUUGAAUAGUCAUUAUGAGGUGGUGGUGGAUUUGUUGGCAGUAGUACUCCAUUGUUAUGGUGGUGAUAAUGGUGAUAGUGGUUGUAGAUGUGUCAAUCACGACGAUGGUCGUCGGUGGGAAGAAAUGGUAUUCGAUGUUUGUGGCCAAUUAUUUGAUUGAUUGUGACUAACAAUUGAGGAAUUUGUAAUAUGUGACCUAAAAAUUGUGACUGUAACUCACAAUUGAUUAAGUUGUGAUCGAACAAUUAAUCGUGACCAAUUAAUCUAAUAAUUUGCAAUGAAUGAAUGAGUUGUGACCAAUAAAAUUUUGAUUCUGUGACCAAUGAAAAAUUCGUGACCUAUAAAAAUUUUUACUGUGACGACCGUGAUCGAAAAAUAAUGCGACCUAUAAAAUUUUGAUUUGUGACUGAAAAAUAAGCUGUGACCAAUUAAUUGAUAAGUUGUGACUAUUAAAUUGGUUAAUCUGUGACCAAUAAAUAAUAUGUGACAAAUGAAAAAAAUAAAUUAUGAUCGAAAAAUAAUGUCUGACCUAAAAGAUUGUUAAUCUGUGACCGAUAAUUUGAUAAUUUGUAACUGUAUAAUAAGUUGUGACUUGUUUGAUUUUAGAUUUGAAGUAGAUGUGGUGUUGGUUGUGUUAGCGGUGGUGUUAAUGGUUGUGUAGGUUGUGGAUUGGUGGAGGCUCUAUUGAAUCGACCAAGUGGUACAGGCGAGUGCUAUUGCAGUGGUGGUGUUGUGGGUACAGUGUGUUGUGUGCGGUGCGGUGGUUAGGUGGUGGUGCUGUGGGUAUGAUGUGUUGUGUGCGAUGAUAAUGUCGACAUGGUGGUGGCUCUAGCAAUGUCAGUGAUGUCGAUCGGUUGUCCUGCAGUGGUGGGCAUGGCUCUAGUGGUGGUGGCUCUGGUUGGCGCCGUUUUCUCUGUUGUGGUGAUGAAUUUGUUAGUGUAUUGUGGUGUUGACUAGUCAUUAUGAGGUGGUGGUGGAUUUGUUGGCGGCAGUACUCCAUUGUUAUGGUGGUGAUAAUGGUGAUAGUGGUUGUAGAUGUGUCAAUCACGACGAUGGUCGUCGGUGGGAAGAAAUGGUAUUCGAUGUUUGUGGCCAAUUAUUUGAUUGAUUGUGACUAACAAUUGAGGAAUUUGUAAUAUGUGACCUAAAAAUUGUGAC